AGUCACUUCACCUGUCUCAGUUCCCUCAACUGUAAAAUGGGGAUAAUAAUAGCACUUAGCCCUGAGGGCUUUGGGAGGAUCAAGUGAGAUAAUAUUUGUGCCUGGCACAUGGUAGCCAGUUAACAUAUGUUUAUUUCCUUCUUUCCUUCCUUCCAGAGAGGGAGAGACUCAAACACAUCGAGACAAGAGAAAAAACAGAAUGAAUAAUGAUAGCAGAGAUUCAGGAAUAAACUUGGUGAGGGAUGAGGAAGGAACAUCACACUUUCUACCUUUCCAGAUGUGCCAAAUAAAAACACACCAGGGUGGGCUCUAUCUCCGUGUCUCCACUCUGCAUCAUCUCCACUGUCGCUCAUUUAGUCUCCGUGACCACAGGAGCCUAGUAAUGAGACACCAGGUCAUCCAAGAUGGGCUUACAGACACCUGAGAGUCUGUUCUCACCCUCACGCUUACAACUGCAAUGGAGUCAGUAAGUAGCUCAGAGUGUGCCAUGUCAUGUCCAAAGAGGAAGGACUGAGGCCCAUCUGAAAUCUGAGGAAAGUUAUUCGUGGGAUUGGUUCCAUGGCUCGUUCUAGUUCCUGGAUCAAAGUCUUCUGACUGUUUUGUAGAGAUAGCAGAUGUGUGAAUUAUUAUUGCACAAAUGGCCUUAAUGGGAUAUACUUGCUCCUAACUGCUUCAUGAGUGGAUUGAGGGAUUAAAACCAACUUUACUGGUAAGAUGUCACCUUUCUCCUUGUAAAGCGACACAAAAGGAAACAGCCACCCAGCACGUGGAAGUAGAAAGUCCUGACCUUUUAAUUAUCUGAAGAGAUGAUCAUAAGAUCAAAGUCUUCUCUGAGGCACAUGCAUAUUAGUACUGAUAGAAUCAUUGUGCUUUUCAGUAAAAGAAGUAGGAGUCUGUAUUUACAUAAGAAACUAUAGUGUCUGAGAUCCAUAUAUAUAUAUAUAUAUGCACAUAUAUAUGGAAAUGGUUUUGAAUUACAGCAUUUACAGAAUAAAAAUAAGCUGGA
This 1006-nucleotide long non-coding RNA is filed under the name Vombatus ursinus (common wombat). RNAcentral describes it as "lncRNA (ENSVURG00010021524.1)". Lineage: Eukaryota; Metazoa; Chordata; Mammalia; Diprotodontia; Vombatidae. The record is from RNAcentral.